Long non-coding RNA from Leptopilina boulardi, 456 nucleotides. RefSeq lists it as uncharacterized. NCBI's taxonomy places the organism in Eukaryota, Metazoa, Arthropoda, Insecta, Hymenoptera, Figitidae. The transcript has 2 exons. The record is from RefSeq and is a predicted model, not a curated record.
UUAACUAUAACAAAAUGUUAAAUUUGAUCCUAAUUACGUUAUUAAUUAAAAAUUAUAAAAUGCACUACAGCAGGGAAUUGCAUUUUCUACUGAACUGAAAGAUAACAUUAAAAGUGUGAAAAAUAUAAAAAAAACUAAAAUUUUUCUCCGGGUUUUUUUUUCUGAUGAAAGCUGAUGAAAUAGUGGGAAAAAAUCCUUAUCAAAAUGAAGAGGUUUUGUUAGAUAUUAACAUUUUUUAAAAUUAUCCCAAAAUUCCAACUUUAAUCUUUUCUCGAUAAAGAAUUGUAAAUUUUACCAUACCUUCUCUCUGACAUUCACUCUAGUCGAGAUUUUGGUUUGACGCCGCUAUAUGAUUUACGUUGGACAUUCGUUAAUUCUCAGCAAGUGAGCACCUGUUAUGCAUAGAUCCACUCGUAAGAUGAAUUAUGAGAACCAUACGUUAUCGACAGAGAUGCU